Molecule: ribosomal RNA, 426 nt
Filed under: uncultured bacterium
Lineage: Bacteria
Description: partial 16S ribosomal RNA
Rfam family: Bacterial small subunit ribosomal RNA
Source: RNAcentral
GUGAGGAAUUUUCCGCAAUGGGCGAAAGCCUGACGGAGCAAUGCCGCGUGAAGGAUGAAGGCCUAUGGGUUGUAAACUUCUUUUCUCAGAAAAGAAUUAUGACGGUAUCUGAGGAAUAAGCAUCGGCUAACUCUGUGCCAGCAGCCGCGGUAAGACAGAGGAUGCAAGCGUUAUCCGGAAUGAUUGGGCGUAAAGCGUUUGUAGGUUGUUUAAAAAGUAUUCUGUCAAAGAUUAGGGCUUAACCCUAGAUAGGCAGAAUAAACUUUUAAGCUAGAGUUUGGUAGAGGCAGAGGGAAUUCCCGGUGGAGCGGUGAAAUGCGUAGAUAUCGGGAGGAACACCAAAGGCGAAGGCACUCUGCUGGGCCAAUACUAACACUGAGAGACGAAAGCGAGGGGAGCAAAUGGGAUUAGAAACCCGGGUAGUCC